GCCGAGGUAGCUCAGUUGGUAGAGCAUCGCCCUGAAGAGGCGGGGGUCACCAGUUCGAACCUGGUCCUCGGCA
Molecule: transfer RNA, 73 nt
Filed under: Candidatus Campbelliibacteriota bacterium
Lineage: Bacteria; Candidatus Campbelliibacteriota
Description: Candidatus Campbellbacteria bacterium tRNA-Phe
Rfam family: tRNA
About the family: Transfer RNA (tRNA) molecules are approximately 80 nucleotides in length. Their secondary structure includes four short double-helical elements and three loops (D, anti-codon, and T loops). Further hydrogen bonds mediate the characteristic L-shaped molecular structure. tRNAs have two regions of fundamental functional importance: the anti-codon, which is responsible for specific mRNA codon recognition, and the 3' end, to which the tRNAs corresponding amino acid is attached (by aminoacyl-tRNA synthetases). tRNAs cope with the degeneracy of the genetic code in two manners: having more than one tRNA (with a specific anti-codon) for a particular amino acid; and 'wobble' base-pairing, i.e. permitting non-standard base-pairing at the 3rd anti-codon position.
Source: RNAcentral